This 253-nucleotide ribosomal RNA is filed under the name uncultured bacterium. RNAcentral describes it as "partial 16S ribosomal RNA". It matches the Rfam family "Bacterial small subunit ribosomal RNA", at positions 524 to 776 of the family's 1533-position model. The record is from RNAcentral.
UACGAAGGUGGCAAGCGUUGUUCGGAAUCACUGGGCUUAAAGCGUACGUAGGCGGAUUAUCAAGUGUCCUUUGAAAUCCCUCGGCUUAACCGAGGAACUGGGGGGCAAACUGAUGAUCUUGAGGCAUGUAGGGGUGUGUGGAACUCUUGGUGGAGCGGUGGAAUGCGUAGAUAUCAAGAGGAACGCCAGCGGAGAAAUCGGCACACUGGGCAUGUCCUGACGCUGAGGUACGAAAGCAUGGGUAGCGAACGGG